Molecule: long non-coding RNA, 2664 nt
Organism: Alligator mississippiensis (American alligator)
Lineage: Eukaryota; Metazoa; Chordata; Crocodylia; Alligatoridae
Exons: 4
Source: RefSeq, a predicted model, not a curated record
GGGAUGGCUAUUUGUCAUGCCAGCUGAUCUUAUUUUUGGGCAUCUCAGCAGCUGUCAUCACCUCAUCACUUAAUCAGACCACUCCUAGGCAGUGAGACAUAAGAGAGGCACAUCCCACCCCUGGGUGGUAGUAUUUAGUUGUGGUUUUUCUUGCUUUUUGUUUAGUUUUUGAUUUCUUUGGACUAGGCUUAUCUUUUUGCUAUAUGUUUGUAAAAGCAUCUAGUAGAAUGAGCACCUUGAUCUAUGGCUAGGGUACCUUGGCAAGUUUUAUAAUGCAAGUACCCAUCUGUAAAGGGAAAGAUGAAUUUCUUCCUGCUUCCCUCAGAAACCAACCUGCAUAUAUCCGUGCUCUAUGGCACAGAAUACAGAAUGAGCAAGAAGGAUGGCAUCAGCUGUGUGCCCAUCUGCCUUGAAGAGAUUUGCUAUCGGUGACCAUGUACCCAUCUGCAUUGAGAAGCUUUGCCAAAGGGUAAAAAUAUUCGGACUCCAGAUAGUCCCAUCAAUUCAAAAAGAGCCUUGAGAAGCAACAAACUGAAUGUCAUUAUGUCACAGAGAAUCUAACGUACACAUCGGAGAGGGACUGUCUUUAAAUGUGCGCCCCUGCCAGCAGGAUGAAGCAAACAGAAGGCUAAUAAAACACAGCAUCGUGUGCUAUCAAAAGGGCAUCUCAGCCUGAUUUGCUCAUAAAAACCUUCCGGCAAAUUUCUGCUUGGUUACAGUGGAGAAAAUCUUCAUAAAUUUCAUUGACUUUGAUGGGUUUACUCCAGACUUGUGCCAGGUGCAUUACACUGUAUAUAAGAUCCUGAAUGAUUUGGAGUGGAGCCCCUAUCUCUGCUUGUUUUGUGCAAUGCAUCCAGUAUGUGCGCUGAAGAAACAGCAGCAAAAUAGAAGAGAGAAACUUGAGUUGGCAAGUACUAUGCUAUAAUACAUAUGGAAAAUGCUAAAUGGGCUGCUCUUUGCUUUGGAUACAAAGAAUUAACGGGAGAGCCUUAUUAGAUAUUAAUUCUUACUGCAAACACCUGGCUGCAGCAGUCAUUAAAAAAACUCUGGCAUGAUGCAAUGUUCUGAUAUGUUAAUCACAUUUCCAUAUGGUGCAGCGUUUUCCUAAGUAUCAUUUGAACUCUGUAACUCAAAGCAAAUACAUAUUUAUGAUUUGAAAAUAGCUGACUGAAUAAUUGCACAUUUAAGUAACUUCUGUUUCCUUGUUAACAACAACAAAAAAAAGUCAUUAUAUUAUUUCUGCUAAAUAGCAAUAGGGGGAAAUAAAGUCAUUAUUUAUGGGGGCAAUUUAUACUAAUUUCACUCUUCAUGAUGUUCAUGUCCAGAUGUUGAGGAGAUCAAACAGAGGACAGGUGUGAAUAAUGGAAACUAGCCAUUCCCAGAGGCUUGAAUAUCCUUCUGUGUAGUCUUAAGGAUGGCAAGUCUAUUACUUUCUCACCUACAGCCAUAAAACCCCAAGCUCUGUUCACAAUCUAGUCACUACAUGGACAGGGAAGCUUCAAGGACAUCACUAAAUGGCACUAGGAGCUCAGGAGCUGUCAUGCUUCACCUAGAGUUAAUAGCCAGCAUGUUGCUGCCCUGGGGAGUGAGGUUGUGCUAUAUCAAGGGUGUUAACUUUUGCACACGAGAAAAUAUAACAAUCCUUAUUUCUUGUUAUGGAAGAAGCCCUGGAAUUCUUCACGCGGGAGAGAUGUUAGCUGCAUUCCCCUAGCCAGGCUCCUGCUUGGGGAGCUGUGCAUCCCGCAUGUAAACCCUCCUUGCAGUUUCAGUGAAUUCAUGUUUUGUUUUCCACUUCCUACUUGUGUUCCCGGUUGCAGCGUGUUCCUUUAUUCAGAGGUGUUAAUAUUUAAUUGACAAGAUACAAAUCAGCUUGCUCUCUUUUUCCAGCAUGCUGCCCCCAUGUGUGCUGGACUUCCUGUAAUACAUAGGUGGGGGGGGGGGGUGGUCCUCUAUGGCCCAAGUUUUCUUUGGCUGUCUUGGGUAUGGUAAUGCCUGGGUCCUUCCCCCCAUUACCCUGGGGUGUUUGUGACUCAUUGAACAGCUCCUGUGUUCUCCCAAGAGCUGACAGCGUUUUGGUUGUGAAUGAAUUUCCUCGUGUGUAUGUAGUUACACAUGCAUGCUUUUUUUUUUUUUUUUAAAGUCAGAUUUCUAUGGAUGGGAUGUGAUUCUGAUUAAUAAGUAGGGCUUGAAGUAUUUUUUAAAAGACUUUUUUAUGGGAAUAGCUCUUAGCAAUCAAGAGAUAUAAAGAGAUCCAGUUCAGCUGAUUUCCUUGUGAAUUAAAAUGCAUAAUAUGUCUUGUGCUCAAUACAUUUUUGAGGGUAUAAAACUUGUUUACAGGAUCUGGAGCUUGAAACACUGCAUAUAUGAAGUUUUAUUUUAGCUACACUUCUCUUUUAACUAUCGACGGAGAAACAGCCUCAAACAAUAAACCAAAUGGCACACAGCAUUCAUGGAUUUUGGACUGGGAUGCACGGCAUAAUUUUGUUGCAAAGGCCAAAAAGUAAAAAUCUUAAAGGGCUCUGGGGUCUCUUAGAUAACGAAAUGUUUAGUAUUUUGGAUGAAGGCUCCUUAAUAUAGUGUAGCAGCACAGAUGAAAAUUGUAUUCCGUCUUUAAUGAUAGCGGUGGAUUAUGAAAUGAAACUUGGUAACAGACUCAAACCUGCG